GUUCCUACGGAGGCAGCAGUGAGGAAUAUUGGUCAAUGGACGAGAGUCUGAACCAGCCAAGUCGCGUGAAGGAUGACUGCCCUAUGGGUUGUAAACUUCUUUUAUAUGGGAAUAAAGUUUUCCACGUGCGGAAUUUUGUAUGUACCAUAUGAAUAAGGAUCGGCUAACUCCGUGCCAGCAGCCGCGGUAAUACGGAGGAUCCGAGCGUUAUCCGGAUUUAUUGGGUUUAAAGGGAGCGUAGGUGGAUUGUUAAGUCAGUUGUGAAAGUUUGCGGCUCAACCGUAAAAUUGCAGUUGAAACUGGCA
Molecule: ribosomal RNA, 305 nt
Filed under: uncultured bacterium
Lineage: Bacteria
Description: bacterial SSU rRNA
Rfam family: Bacterial small subunit ribosomal RNA
Source: RNAcentral